This is a long non-coding RNA of Xenopus laevis (African clawed frog), 666 nucleotides long. RefSeq lists it as uncharacterized. The record is from RefSeq and is a predicted model, not a curated record. NCBI's taxonomy places the organism in Eukaryota, Metazoa, Chordata, Amphibia, Anura, Pipidae. The transcript has 3 exons.
UCAAAACUGAAUUAGAAUUUGAUAAAGUUUCAAACCAAGAGGAGAGAAACAAUUUUUCCAUCGAAUUAACUAAUAAAUUAGAGGUAUUUAAGAAAGAUCUACUAGCAUUCAAAAAGAAGAAACUUUUACAGGUUGUUCAGGACUAUAAGACUGAUAAUGUGUAUAGGUGGUUGAAGGGUGAUUAUUCAUUUCGGAGACCACGCAAAUUUAGAUUUCAUACACAAGGUAUAAGAUCCUCUUCCUCUGGAAGCGGUGCUGAUCCAAUUGAAAGUGACUCUUCCGGUGAACGACAUAAGUCUGGUUUUUUAUCCAAGGCCAAACAAAACCGUUCAAGAAAAAAACUAGGAGAGGGAAGUCAAAGGGAAAACAGUCAUACAUCACAGGAGGGACCUCAAGGGACCAAUUUGAGCCCGGUCAAAACUCGCAGCAAGAAAGACAAAUAAUUUUCAACCUGUCGUCUACAACAUUGACAGACACACAGACUUACUGAGGAGCAAGCUGAUCCAGAAGCUGAGCAACAGGCCUCCACAAUGUCAAGGCAACUCAAAUUAAAAUCCACUUUCAUGCCACCUACUCAAAAUAAGUCUGGAGAUGAAUCUUCCCUGGUCGCCUUUAUUGAUUAUCUAAAUAAUAUUCCAUCCACUAUUCGUUUUACGGCAUCUUGGA